GGGUACACGAGCGGCGAACGGGUGAGUAACACGUGGGUAACCUGCCCUGUACUCUGGGAUAAGCCUUGGAAACGAGGUCUAAUACCGGAUAUGACCACUGAUCGCAUGAUCGGUGGUGGAAAGUUCCGGCGGUAUGGGAUGGACCCGCGGCCUAUCAGCUUGUUGGUGGGGUAAUGGCCUACCAAGGCGACGACGGGUAGCCGGCCUGAGAGGGUGAUCGGCCACACUGGGACUGAGACACGGCCCAGACUCCUACGGGAGGCAGCAGUGGGGAAUAUUGCACAAUGGGCGAAAGCCUGAUGCAGCGACGCCGCGUGAGGGAUGACGGCCUUCGGGUUGUAAACCUCUUUCAGCAGGGACGAAGCGCAAGUGACGGUACCUGCAGAAGAAGCACCGGCUAACUACGUGCCAGCAGCCGCGGUAAUACGUAGGGUGCGAGCGUUGUCCGGAAUUAUUGGGCGUAAAGAGCUCGUAGGCGGUUUGUCGCGUCGGCCGUGAAAACUUGGGGCUUAACCCCAAGCUUGCGGUCGAUACGGGCAGACUUGAGUUCGGCAGGGGAGACUGGAAUUCCUGGUGUAGCGGUGAAAUGCGCAGAUAUCAGGAGGAACACCGGUGGCGAANGCGGGUCUCUGGGCCGAUGCUGACGCUGAGGAGCGAAAGCGUGGGGAGCGAACAGGAUUAGAUACCCUGGUAGUCCACGCCGUAAACGGUGGGUGCUAGGUGUGGGGGGCUUCCACGCCCUCUGUGCCGCAGCUAACGCAUUAAGCACCCCGCCUGGGGAGUACGGCCGCAAGGCUAAAACUCAAAUGAAUUGACGGGG
Molecule: ribosomal RNA, 820 nt
Filed under: uncultured Actinomycetes bacterium
Lineage: Bacteria; Bacillati; Actinomycetota; Actinomycetes
Description: bacterial SSU rRNA
Rfam family: Bacterial small subunit ribosomal RNA
Source: RNAcentral